Molecule: long non-coding RNA, 573 nt
Filed under: Mytilus galloprovincialis (Mediterranean mussel)
Lineage: Eukaryota; Metazoa; Mollusca; Bivalvia; Mytilida; Mytilidae
Source: RNAcentral
CAUCAAUCUUCUAUCCCGCUGAAAACGCUGUGAUUUUGUAAAAGGAAUGCAUUAAGGAUAUAAGAAAUCACCUAAUUUCUAACAAACUGGGAAAAUUUACAAAUUUAAAUGAGGGACAUUUAAUUUGCUUUCAGGCUGGAAUAUUUUCUGUCAUGGGAGAAUAUUUGGGGUGUCCGAACCACAGGUAUUCUCUCGGUAUGAAGUGGAGGAGGAGCAGCAUAUUAUGUGGUCAUCCUGACCACAAGGGUAAAUCCAAGCCUGAAUUCGACCGGGCAGUCACGCCUCAGAUAAGCCACCACCUUUUGAGAACCAGAGGAGUUGUGCUUCCAAUAGGAUCAGGUAAUCAUCUCAAGUUUAAAGAUAAUUAGGAGGCUGUUUGAUAACUUAAUAAAACUUCAGAACCCAAGCCCUUAAUUUGCAGUGUAGUACUGACAAUUUUUUUAAAGAGUAAUGUGGGACAAAUGUGGGGGUAGAGUGAAUUAAUCUUAAUUUUCAGUCUGAACUGUAUCAUGUCUGUUCGCCCUAAUAACACAUUUGCCCUGAGUCCGUUUUCUAGAAAAUAUUAAUAUUCAG